AGACACUUCUAGAUUGGCGAUCUCUGCGGUCCCAGCAAGACAAAGAGUAUGAAGAGUCUUUGCUAGCAGACCAAGAAAAAGAAAGGAGAAGACAGUGUUACAAGGCCUGGGAGGAAAGACGCAUAAAAGCAAUUGAAGAACGCCAGCAACGACUGGCGGUACAUGAAGAACCAUCAAGUGGGCUGCUUUUGAAGUUCAAAUAUCCGAAUGGAUUUAUCACAAAGAGAACUUUCAAUGUGUCUGACCCAAUCCAGGUCUUGUUUGAUUUUGUCGGACA
Long non-coding RNA from Fundulus heteroclitus (mummichog), 277 nucleotides. RefSeq lists it as uncharacterized. NCBI's taxonomy places the organism in Eukaryota, Metazoa, Chordata, Actinopteri, Cyprinodontiformes, Fundulidae. The transcript has 4 exons. The record is from RefSeq and is a predicted model, not a curated record.